RNAcentral lists this ribosomal RNA (513 nucleotides) under uncultured bacterium. RNAcentral's name for it is "bacterial SSU rRNA". It matches the Rfam family "Bacterial small subunit ribosomal RNA", at positions 501 to 1015 of the family's 1533-position model. The record is from RNAcentral.
CUACGUGCCAGCAGCCGCGGUAAUACGGAGGAUGCGAGCGUUAUCCGGAUUUAUUGGGUUUAAAGGGUGCGUAGGCGGCCUGUUAAGUCAGCGGUGAAAUCUAGGAGCUUAACUCCUAAAUUGCCAUUGAUACUGGCGGGCUUGAGUGUAGAUGAGGUAGGCGGAAUGCGUGGUGUAGCGGUGGAAUGCAUAGAUAUCACGCAGAACUCCGAUUGCGAAGGCAGCUUACUAAGGUACAACUGACGCUGAAGCACGAAAGCGUGGGUAUCAAACAGGAUUAGAUACCCUGGUAGUCCACGCAGUAAACGAUGAUAACUGGGCGUAUGCGAUAUACAGUAUGCUCCUAAGCGAAAGCGUUAAGUUAUCCACCUGGGGAGUACGCCGGCAACGGUGAAACUCAAAGGAAUUGACGGGGGCCCGCACAAGCGGAGGAACAUGUGGUUUAAUUCGAUGAUACGCGAGGAACCUUACCCGGGAUUGAAAUGUAGAUGACCGCUCCUGAAAGGGAGUUUU